ACGCUCGACACCUACGGGACGCAGCAGUGGGGAAUAUUGCACAAUGGGGGAAACCCUGAUGCAGCGACGCCGCGUGAGCGAAGAAGUAUUUCGGUAUGUAAAGCUCUAUACAGCAGGGAAGAAACUGACGGUACCUGACUAAGAAGCACCGGCUAAAUACGUGCCAGCAGCCGCGGUAAUCUGAGCGGGCUGGCAAGGC
RNAcentral lists this ribosomal RNA (199 nucleotides) under uncultured bacterium. Its description in RNAcentral is "partial 16S ribosomal RNA". It matches the Rfam family "Bacterial small subunit ribosomal RNA", at positions 326 to 539 of the family's 1533-position model. The record is from RNAcentral.